CUAGCAUUUGUGGGGUGGAAUUUGCUGCUCUCCUAGCUUGUCGUCAUCCCGUUCGCUGCCCAUAACACGGUAAACAAUUCGUAAUACUUUUACUCAUUUCGAGUUCGAUAUGUUGGUGUGAAAUCCUGCUCUUUGCCGACUUUGAUAUGACUCUAUGUAAUGUGUUUAAAUCUUAGUCUUUACUGUCUCUUCAUCCUCUCUCUGAAGUUGGUGAUAUGUUUUUUUUUCUUUAAGUUGAUUUAAUGACUGUUCGAGUCCGCUUCUCUGUUCUGUGUUCUUUUCGAACCAGCGGCUAUUGUACUCUCUUUAAAUUUUGACUCAUUUCAUUGAUCAAUCAGGGCACUAUUCUAUUCUCAUUUUGUUGAACUAGUAUUCAUGUUUUUGUUGUGUGUUUGGAGGGAGUCAAAUGCAUUAGCUAGCUGAACAUUCUAUUUCUUAUGAAUAUAAGUUGAAUUUUGAGAUUGUGUUCUUUAAUUUCUUUUAAUCUGUCCAUAUCCUGUUCUGGGAGAAAAUCCUUCAUAUAUGUUCCCGAGUUAUGUGCUGCUCACUGCCUUGCCCCAAGAAAUUUGAACUCUUCUUCUGUGUCUGUACCGUCUCGAGAUAGCCGUGCCUUGAAUUUUUGGGAAUGCCGGC
RNAcentral lists this long non-coding RNA (633 nucleotides) under Solanum tuberosum (potato). Its description in RNAcentral is "long non-coding RNA (STUB_LNC005444)". Lineage: Eukaryota; Viridiplantae; Streptophyta; Magnoliopsida; Solanales; Solanaceae. The record is from RNAcentral.